AACACAUUCCUUAGAUCCACUCCGGGGGCUAGUUCUCUGCCAGGGCUUGCAGAGACAUGCCCAGCAACUUUCUGGGUUGUACUGUCUGGAGUGCUUGAGUCAUUAGUGUGUGAGAGCAGUAUACCUCCACUGGUGGUCAGUCGCGCUCUUGUCUGCCCAUGUAGUGUGUUGGACGUAUGGCGCACACUCUGAAGGCAUUACGUGGCAAGAGUUGACUGCUAGUGGGGACAUG
Lingula anatina is the source of this 232-nucleotide non-coding RNA. NCBI's taxonomy places the organism in Eukaryota, Metazoa, Brachiopoda, Lingulata, Lingulida, Lingulidae. The record is from Rfam.